This 497-nucleotide ribosomal RNA is filed under the name uncultured bacterium. Its description in RNAcentral is "partial 16S ribosomal RNA". It matches the Rfam family "Bacterial small subunit ribosomal RNA", at positions 28 to 507 of the family's 1533-position model. The record is from RNAcentral.
GAUGAACGCUGGCGGCGUGCCUAAUACAUGCAAGUCGAACGCUGAAGGAAGGAGCUUGCUCUUUCCGGAUGAGUUGCGAACGGGUGAGUAACGCGUAGGUACCCUGCCUGGUAGCGGGGGAUAACUAUUGGAAACGAUAGCUAAUACCGCAUAACAGUAGAUGUUGCAUGAUAUCUACUUAAAAGGUGCAAUUGCAGCACUACCAGAUGGACCUGCGUUGUGUUAGCUAGUUGGUGAGGUAACGGCUCACCAAGGCGAGGAUACAUAGCCGAACUGAGAGGGUGAUCGGCCACCCUGGGAGGGGGACACGGCCCAGAGGCCUACGGGAGGCAGCAGUAGGGAAUCGGCGGCAAUGGACGGGAGUCUUACCGAGCAGGGCGGAGUGAGUGAAGAAGGGUGUCGGAUCGGAAAGCUCGGUUUUAAGUGAAGAACGAGUUUGAGAGUGGAAAGUUCACACUGUGACGGUAUCUGAACAGAAAGCGACGGCUAACUACGUG